Leopardus geoffroyi (Geoffroy's cat) is the source of this 684-nucleotide long non-coding RNA. RefSeq lists it as uncharacterized. NCBI's taxonomy places the organism in Eukaryota, Metazoa, Chordata, Mammalia, Carnivora, Felidae. The transcript is spliced from 3 exons. The record is from RefSeq and is a predicted model, not a curated record.
GACUACGAAGCGGGAGUCACUCCAAGCAAAUCCAGUGAAGAAGCCCAAGGUGACCUAAUCCAAAGAAUUGUCAUUAAUGGUUGUGGUUUUAAAGCCACUAAAUUUGGGGAUCUAAUCCUGGAUUUCACACUGCAAUUCGUUCUCAUGUUUCCCUGUGCUCUUCCAAUAUGAGAUACAACCGUGUGCAUAAACAGACUAGUCACCUCCUGAGACUGCAGCCUUGACAAUUCUUCAGGUCCAGAAGUUGAAUCUUGACUAGUCAACCUGACCAGGAUCAUUCAAUGACUAAAGAUAGGAAGGAACUACAUGGACCAAUUAUGGCCAAUGAGGUAUGAGGGGAAAUACGUGGAGGGUUUAUGGACUUUUCUUCAUUCUUCUAGGGACAUAUAUCAAAACAUUACUGUUUCCAGUUUGAGGGCACUGUUGUGUAAGCAUGUGAUACUUAGCAUCAUAGCCAUCCUGAGACCACACGUGGUCAAUCUUAUGACCCCAAACUAUCACCCUGGGAAGAGCAGAGCAUAUGAAUGUAAUGAGCCCACCAUGUCUUUGGUGAUAUUAAACUGCUAAAAUAAGCACACAAUCUCUGUACUACCUAUCAUGUGCAAUAAUAAACCACUUACCAUCAAGUUAUCAUUACACCAUGUACAAUGUUAACCUAUUAAAAAUGAAAUAUUUUGAUCUUGA